GCCAGUGUGGCAUAGUGGUUUGAGUGUUGGACUAUGACUCUGAAGGCCAGGAUUUGAUUCCCUGCUUGGCC
This is a non-coding RNA of Phrynosoma platyrhinos (Desert horned lizard), 71 nucleotides long. Lineage: Eukaryota; Metazoa; Chordata; Lepidosauria; Squamata; Phrynosomatidae. The record is from the annotation of a GenBank genome assembly.